Long non-coding RNA from Rhododendron vialii, 754 nucleotides. RefSeq lists it as uncharacterized. The transcript has 2 exons. Lineage: Eukaryota; Viridiplantae; Streptophyta; Magnoliopsida; Ericales; Ericaceae. The record is from RefSeq and is a predicted model, not a curated record.
AGCGGCCUCUCCGACUUGCUUCUGAUAUAUUUGGAGUUUUAUGAAUAAAUAUAUCAGGUUAUAUAAUCAAUAAGUGAUUUAAUAUGGUUAUAUGAUGAUACAGGUUAUAUAACCUUAUAUAUUUAUUCAAAAAACUUUGAUCGGUUACGUAUUGGUGUAGUUAAGAUAGGGUUUUGAUUGCGAGUAUAUGUGGUUAUAUCAAUCUUUGAUCCAGUAUGGUAUGGUUGAAUUAAGUUAGGGAUUCGAUUGAUAGUAUAUAUGGUUAUAUACUAAUUUUGUUAAAGGCUGUUAUUUGUGCAGUUGUUCAAGGGGUGAAGAGUAUUAAGUUACUUGUGAAGUCGACCGUGAAGAAGGCAACGGCGACGAAGGGAAAGAAGUUACGAGAUCUCCUCUUUUUAUUUUUUUAGAAGUUAGAAAGGACAAAAUCUCAUGUAUAACGUUAUAAGGUUAUAUGUUUAUUUUUUGUCACAUGUAUUACGUUUUUGUGUGUGUAUUAUUGUUACUAGAAGCAAGUCAUUGAGGCCGCUGCGCGGACCAAUUCAAUAAGUGAAAAUAUAAUGGAAAGAAGUUACGAGAUCUCCUCUUUUUCUUUUUUUAGAGUUAGAAAGGACAAAAUCUCAUGUAUAACGUUAUAAGGUUAUAUGUUUAUUUUUUGUCACAUGUAUUACAUUUUUUUUUGUGUAUUAUUGUUACUAGAAGCAAGUCAUUGAGGCCGCUGCGCGGACCAAUUCAAUAAAGUGAAAAUAUAAUGUUA